GGGGGUGUAGCUCAGUGGUAGAGCAUCUGCCUUUUAAGCAGGAGGUCGAUGGUUCGAUCCCAUCCACCCUCA
This 72-nucleotide transfer RNA is filed under the name Limisphaerales bacterium. RNAcentral describes it as "tRNA-Lys". It matches the Rfam family "tRNA". From Rfam's summary of the family: Transfer RNA (tRNA) molecules are approximately 80 nucleotides in length. Their secondary structure includes four short double-helical elements and three loops (D, anti-codon, and T loops). RNAcentral also lists the same sequence under 2 other names. Lineage: Bacteria; Pseudomonadati; Verrucomicrobiota; Verrucomicrobiia; Limisphaerales. The record is from RNAcentral.